Triplophysa rosa is the source of this 582-nucleotide long non-coding RNA. RefSeq lists it as uncharacterized. The transcript is spliced from 2 exons. NCBI's taxonomy places the organism in Eukaryota, Metazoa, Chordata, Actinopteri, Cypriniformes, Nemacheilidae. The record is from RefSeq and is a predicted model, not a curated record.
GCCAUUCUGAACAACUGCUUCAUCAGAGUGUACUGGCACACGUCCAACACACAAGAGCAGGGACCCAGUCAGGGCUUGAACCCUGAUGGAGCAUGAAGAGAAAGGCCAUGGACCACAGCUCUAGUUUUUACGCACCCCCACACACACACAAACACACAUUCAGAUAAGAUUUCUCACUGAUUAAAUGUUCAUAUGAAAGUUUGUUACGUUUUGGUGGUCAAGUUAUAAUUCAUUGUCAUAAAUCUAAAUGAAGAGUUUGGUUCCAAAAUGAGAUAACUACGUUUUAAUUUUUUUUUCAAAAAUCAUGUUUUAUUAUUGAGCAUUCCAAUUAAUAGAAAUCAAAGUGCAGCUGGUUUGUUUUGAUUUAAGCUAUGAUAACUAAAAAAGUACAGCUAACUAACACAAAUACAUGAUAACAUAAUAAAAGAAGAUUUUUGAAAAAUUAAUGCGUUUUAAAACUCAUUAAUGUUAAUGAGUUUUUAAAAAGCUUUUAUAAUUAAAAUACCUGUUGAUUGCACAUGUAACUGUUGUAUACUUCUUUGUUCCUGGAAUGAUGUUAAUAAACAUGAUGUUGAAAGAGAA